CCUUUUUGGCCUUAUCGUCUCCGAGAAAAGAAAUCCCAAAUCCUCCGCCGCCGGUAAUCCCAAACUCUCGAAGUCUCGAUCAGGAAACCGCAGAGAAAAGCGGAAGCCGAGCGGUGCAAGCAAAGCUUGGCCUCCUCGAUUCCCUCCCCACUCAUCCCCAUCAAAUCAAAAAUUCGAAAAUCAAAAGGACACCCAAUCUAAUCGCCGGUUCGCCGGCGGAGGAAUCCGGAGCCGAGCCUAUCCGAUCGGAGCGGGACGGAGCGGGGCGGGGCCGGUCCCCUGCGGCAUUUCGUCCCCACUUGGGGGACGCUGUGUGGAACCGCGGGUGCGGGGGGCGCCCACGGGCCUGUCGCGCAGCGCGGCGCCUCGUUGCGCGUGCCCGCCCGCAGUCAGCUCCGUAACUCCCGCGUCCGGCGUCCGCUGCAAUGCGCGCUAAAGGCUUUCGCUCGCUAAAGGCUUUUCCCUGUGUGCGCUGCGAAUUGGCCUGACUGCUUUGAGUUUUGUCCAAGUUUGGAUGGGCCAGAUGGUUUCGGAUGACAAUUUCGAAGAACAAGCGGUCCGCGACGGUGGGAUCAUUAAGAAUGGAAGGGAAAUCUUAUUCCAGUCAUCACUUAGGCUUACGGGAAUCCCAUAAGCUCAACUGGUGGAAUAAUUUAGAGGAUAAAGUUACCGACCUGGCAAAAUCUGGGUUUACAUCUGCAUGACUCCCUCCACCGACACAGUCAUUAUCUCUGGAAGGUUAUCUACCGCAGAACCUGUACUGUCUUGACUCUUGUUAUGGUUCCCUCCACGAGUUAAAAGUGUUGCUUCAGGAAAUGAAUGAACACAAUGUAAGGGCUAUGGCAGAUGUUGUUAUUAACCAUCGAAUCGGGACUACUCAAGGAUCCAAUGGGAUGUAUAAUAGUUAUGAUGGUAUCCCAAUAUCAUGGGAUGAAAAUGCUGCUACAUCUUGUUCUGGUGGCAAGGUAACUAAAUUGUCUUGUUUUAUGCAAGAUAUUUAGGUUUUAAUCUUCUACUUGCCACCAUAUCUUGUUGGAUCAGUUCUACUAUUAAGCUGUACUGAACUUGCCUGCAACUUAAUUGUCUGGGAAAUAAAAGCACUGGGGAUAACUUCGAUGGGGUUCCCAACAUAGAUCAUACACAGCUAUUUGUACAGAAAGAUAUUAUUGAAUGGCUGAUCUAGCUUUGAGAAACUGUUGGUUUCCAAGAUUUCCGCUUUGAUUUCACGAAAGGUUACGCAGCAAAGUUUGUGAAGGAAUACAUUGAAGAAUCAAAACCUCGUUUUGCGGUGGGGGAAUACUGGGAUAACUGUGAAUAUAGCCCCCCUGAUUACCGUCUAAACUACAAUCAGAAUUAUUAUCCCUUGUCAGGGUUGCCUCUUCAACUACUCUACUCCUACUCUAGGAACUAUGCCUGACAUGUUGGGAUUUAUUUACUAUUAUAACCAUAGGCAGAGAAUUAUUAAUUGGAUAGAUAGCACUGGAGGACUUUGUGCUGCGAUUGAUUUCACAAGAAAGGGCAUCCUUCAGGAAGCUGUCAAAGGUGAGUUGUGGCGUUUGCGAGACCCUGAAGGAAAGCCACCUGGUGUGAUGGGAUGGCGGUCUUCAAGAUCAGUUACGUUUAUUGAAAAUCAUGACACAGGGUCAACCCAGGUAUACUAGAGUUAUUUUUCUGUUCCUUUGGUUGAGGUAAAGCUUAACUGUGUAAAUAUUUGCCUGGGAGUGUUCAGAAUGUGCUAAGAGGAAAAUCUAAUAGAAAAGGUUCACAAUUUCAGGGUCAUUGACCUUUUACAUCUGACCAUGUUAUGGAGGUAAGGUAUGCUUUAUGGACUUUGUAUUGCUUCAUUUCUUCACAGUCCUCGUUUCAUCAGAAUCCAAUAAUAUGUAUUUAUGAAACUGAAUUACCAAAAUAGUUACCAUUGUGAUCUUGAAAAGGGUAAUUUCCUUUGCAACGGCUGUAGCAGGUUUUAACUCUUAAAAAGGUUCAGAGUCGCUGGUUCAGUCAAUAAUCCUGAACCGUGAAGACAUGAUACUCUCAUCAAUUGAUCAUUAAAAGAUGAACUUCCUAUUAACCUUUUCACUCCCUGAAUCAUUUGGUUUAGAGUUAGCUUGCUGUUCUUUUUUGGACAUCUAAUAGUUGAUUGACACAUGCAUAAUCUGAUUGUCCUCACCCACCCCAGGAUCCCCUCUGUGUUCUAUGAUCACUUUUAUGACCAGGGAGUUUCCUUCCAUGACGAAAUUGCUAAACUGAUGGAAAUCAGGAAAGUCAGAUAUACACAGCCGAUCCACAGUCAAAAUUUUGGAGGCGAGGUCAGACCUGUACUCCACAAUCAUAGAUGAUAAGUUGUGCAUGAAGAUCGGGGAUGGCUCGUGGUGCCCAAGCGACACUCAGUGGAGAUAGAUAUGCUGUGUGGCACAAUCCUGAACACGAGUAAUUAGCCUUUUAAUGAAUUGAAGACGUCAAGGGGCCCUUGUGCCAUAGCCAGGUUUGAACCUCAUAAAGAGUCCUCUUAACUGAACCACACCACGGUAGACAUGUUAGAAUAAGGCGCUUGUAGUUGUAGGUUCACCUGUGCAACAGAAAGAGUGGCUCCUGUGGUUGUCAGUGGAGCGGGUAGUUGCGUAAUGUGAGCUAGAAACAAUUGAUACGUGGCUGCACCAGAGAUGAGGAAAAUAGCACUAAUUGUAGUUAGUCGGGAUCACUUGUAUAAGAAUGUACAUAGGAUAAUAAGGUAUGUAAUCACGUCUAUGUGCAUUAUUUUAUUGUAAACUGGAAAUUUGAAUGUUUAUCAGAAAACACAGUCCCUUGGAAUUUGCACUUCGCA
This is an RNA transcript of Phragmites australis (common reed), 2824 nucleotides long. It is a transcript of the gene named probable alpha-amylase 2, with no coding region annotated. The transcript is spliced from 10 exons. The record is from RefSeq and is a predicted model, not a curated record. NCBI's taxonomy places the organism in Eukaryota, Viridiplantae, Streptophyta, Magnoliopsida, Poales, Poaceae.